CCGGUACAUUCUUUUGAUGCGAUACCGCCAAGACGUCCCACAGUUCGUCACGGCCCGGCGUUGCCAAGCGGUAACAGUUUACUGAGACAACCUGGACCAUUUCCACAUAUGCCACUUCUACAUCCACAAUAUCGCCAUGUAAGUGCACCGCCACGUUGGGCGAGCUUACUAGGACAACCACCUACAAAUCCGUAUAUUCCUAGGCCAGGCUUCUUGUACCCCCUGAGGUUCAGCACAUGCGCGGAGCGAGAGGAAUAUCGCAAGUACCUCCUGCACAACGUCCCGGACGACCCUUUGGAAAUGGCCCACCUCGUCACCCACAUCACGAGGAAAGUCGCAAACGGCAAGGACACACAGUGCUACGUCGGAGAUGGUUCCGCGAACACGAGAAUCACUACAAUCGUGUGCUAGAGCUCGGAGAGGAUCCUGCACUUCGUGGAUCCUCCAAAUUAGUUCGACACAAACCGUCUAGGUUUUCUGAAGCACGUCACCCACGUGUGCAAAACGCUCAUAUGCCCGAAGAACAGUCAGUUGCGCUCCCUGCGA
This is a long non-coding RNA of Rhipicephalus sanguineus (brown dog tick), 546 nucleotides long. RefSeq lists it as uncharacterized. The record is from RefSeq and is a predicted model, not a curated record. The transcript is spliced from 6 exons. NCBI's taxonomy places the organism in Eukaryota, Metazoa, Arthropoda, Arachnida, Ixodida, Ixodidae.